UUCUUCUCAGCCUCCUUCUCCACCUCCCGUUCCCCCCGACCCAGCUAACCUAAACCCUAACUCAUCUCCGAUCGAACCCACCUCUCUCAAUUCGCCGCCGCCGCUUCCACCUCCAUCCUCCAUAAAGGAUUUUGGGUUAGGGUUCCUGGACGGCUAUGACGAGUUUCCUCUCAUGAGCUUUCUUCGAUCCUGUUCAAGAGGGACUAUUUGAAGAUCUCAAAGCUGACAGGACAGAAGACGACCAGGUUAGGCUGUUCCGGCCUGACGAAAACGCUCUUAGUAUGCAAACAUGUGCUGAUAGGCUUUGUAUGACACCACCUUCUGUGGAGCAAUUCAUCGAAGCAGUUAAGCAAACUGUACGUGCCAUCAAGAAAUGGGUUCCUCCGGGUAAAGGAGUUUUGUAUACAAGGCCUCGGCUAAUAGGGAGUGGCGCUAUCCUUGGAGCAGCUCCAGCACCUGAGUACACGUUCCUCAUUUACGCAUCUCCCGUAGGAGAUUACCAUAAGGUAAGCACAGGCCUGAACUUUAAAGUUGAUCAUAAGUAUCGCCGAGCCCAUUCACUUGUUUUCAGAAGCGUGGAUGCUUAUUACUUUUGUUUCCAUGAGAUGCAGGUCACUUUAACACUUUUGUUGGAGAUCGGUCUGCUUAUGUGUUCAGUUAGAUUCUGAUUUUGCUUGUGUAUUGGAUUAGGUGAUCUGGUGAAGAUGCUUUUGAGACUGCAAAGAGUUGACGUUUCUUCUUCUCCUUAAUCUCAUUAGCUUUUGGUUUUAGUUCUUAUUCCUUCUCUCUGUUCUUGAGAGUUUAUUAAUUUUCUGAAUUUUUUUUUUUUGCAGAAAAGAAGAAUGAUUGCAAUAUUUUGACCACGUUUAAGCUAAACGAGAGACUUGAAUCAGUUUCAGUUACAUCUCAUCAUUACAGGUUUGAUUUCUUGGUCCUUUACAUGAAUAAUACUUUGUUUAACACUCUUAGGACGAUUAUUAUUUGCACAGUUCAUCAAAACAGGUUUUGGUUACAAUAAACUUUUCUCUAGAACAAUUGGAACGUGUUUUGGAUACAAGAUCAAAUCUGGUGGAGUUUUAUAUUGGACAAAAACAGAAGAGGGCAACAACUGCUGCAAAAACCGGUUGCAAGAUGAUCAGAUCUUUUUGAGUUACUGUGUGUGUUUGUUGCUUGAAACUGCAACUUAUGGCAUUGAUUCUCUCCCAGGCUAGGCAAGCUCUUCUCACUCAAAGAAUUGCUUCAGCACUUCAAGCAGCCAUGAUGUUAAGACCACGUUUUGUAAGACAUUUGGUAUGAUGUUUAAGACUUGAUGUUUUGUAAGACUUGUUUUUAAUAUGAUGUUUGUCCUUGUGAUGUUUUGUGUAAGACAUGUUUGGAUGUUUAAUAAAAAUAAGAGUGUUUUAAAUGCAAA
Molecule: long non-coding RNA, 1411 nt
Organism: Eutrema salsugineum
Lineage: Eukaryota; Viridiplantae; Streptophyta; Magnoliopsida; Brassicales; Brassicaceae
Exons: 6
Source: RefSeq, a predicted model, not a curated record